This is a long non-coding RNA of Passer domesticus (house sparrow), 1182 nucleotides long. RefSeq lists it as uncharacterized. Lineage: Eukaryota; Metazoa; Chordata; Aves; Passeriformes; Passeridae. The record is from RefSeq and is a predicted model, not a curated record. The transcript has 3 exons.
GUGGGAGGAAGGGGUUACAUUGUAAUGGAACUUAGGCAGUGCUCUUUGUGACGAUGAGACACCAAGGUGCAAGAAUUACAGGUUGCAGCAAGAGAAAUUCUAAUUGGGCACCGGAAAAUUCUUCACUGUGGGGGUGGUUAAGCACUGGGAUGUGCUUCCUGGACAGCAUGUGGGAACCACCUCUGUGGAGAUUUUCAAAACAUGACUGAGCAAGUCCUUGAACAUCCUCAUUUAAUUUUUCAGUUAAACUGACUUGAAGCAGGAGGUUGAACUAGAUAACAUCCAGAAACCCUUUCCAGCCUAAUGGUUCUGUCAUACUGUGAUUCUGUCCUUAUUUUCUUUCCUGUAACAGCUGUAGUUCUGACAGAGGAUAUUCCAUCCUUAGAAUGAGCACUGCAGAAGUUACUUCCAGUAAACUGAGGAGGGUUGUCGAUUCAUGUGAGAAUCAACUGAGAAAAGAGACGUGAGCAGAGCUCACCGGAGGGGGCUGGUGCAAGAACUGCAGUUGGUGAGGAAGGCUCCUUCUGAGGAAGGUGACCUCAGAAAAGUGGAGGGCUGGUGGCCUACAGCAUGAACCAGAAUGCAGCAUGUCCACACCCACAGGAAGAGCAGCAGAGCAAGGUCACCUCCAGCUGUUGUUAUGUACAUCCUAGUAGUAGGAAGCAAUGAAAGAACAGUGGAGCUGGAAGACAAGUAAACAACAGCCCUUAGAUCUUGAUCAAUAACCUCCAAAUUGGCAGUUACAUUAGGCAUUUAAUUGCUAUGUUAUUCGUAAUAGAAGUAGUUUUUUCAUGAAGGAGGGUCAAAAUGAAUCGUGGUCUGAGUUUAGGAAACUACUGUCCAUGUCAGAAGUAACACAGAGUGAGAGACAGAAGGAUUAGUGAGAAAUACUAAUACAAGUAAUUGAGAUGUGAUAAGAAUACAAGUAUUCCUCAAAGGCUCGUUCAUAGGCAAAUAAUUCAAUAGCAUCCUCUGUUGUCUCACCCCUUACUGAAUAUGCACAUACAUACUUUUUCAAUAUGCACCUUUAAUAUAGACCUUCUCAGCAAUGUAGUUUUCACUGUCAGCAUUUUGCUCAUUUUCCUUGUCAUCCUGCAUUUUCCCAAUAAAACCUGCUAUUCCUGAAAAAAAAAUCAUUCUCCUUUUUUCUGUGAGUUUGUUCAUUACUAUUGCAAAAUGUUC